Molecule: transfer RNA, 74 nt
Filed under: Acidimicrobiia bacterium
Lineage: Bacteria; Bacillati; Actinomycetota; Acidimicrobiia
Description: tRNA-Arg
Rfam family: tRNA
About the family: Transfer RNA (tRNA) molecules are approximately 80 nucleotides in length. Their secondary structure includes four short double-helical elements and three loops (D, anti-codon, and T loops).
Source: RNAcentral
GUGCUCGUAGCUCAGUCGGAUAGAGCGACAGACUUCUAAUCUGUAGGUCGUGGGUUCGAUUCCCUCCGGGCACA